Molecule: ribosomal RNA, 440 nt
Filed under: uncultured bacterium
Lineage: Bacteria
Description: partial 16S ribosomal RNA
Rfam family: Bacterial small subunit ribosomal RNA
Source: RNAcentral
CCUACGGGAGGCAGCAGUGGGGGAUAUUGCACAAUGGGGGAAACUCUGAUGCAGCGACGCCGCGUGGGUGAAGAAGCGCCUCGGCGCGUAAAGCCCCGUCAGCAGGGAAGAAAAUGACGGUACCUGAAGCAGACUCCCCGGCUAACUCCGUUCCAGCAGCCGCGGUAACACGUAGGGGGCAAGCGUUAUCCGGAUUUACUGGGUGUAAUGGGGGCGCAGACGGCGAUGCAAGCCAGGGGUGAAAGCCCGGGGCCCAACCCCGGGACUGCUCUUGGAACUGCGUGGCUAGAGUGCAGGAGGGGCAGGCGGAAUUCGUGGUGUAGCGGUGAAAUGCGUAGAUAUCAGGAAGAACACCGAUGGCGAAGGCGGCCUGCUGGACUGCAACUGACGUUGAGGCCCGAAAGCGUGGGGAGCAAACAGGAUUAGAUACCCCUGUAGUC